RNAcentral lists this ribosomal RNA (254 nucleotides) under uncultured bacterium. RNAcentral describes it as "partial 16S ribosomal RNA". It matches the Rfam family "Bacterial small subunit ribosomal RNA", at positions 524 to 776 of the family's 1533-position model. The record is from RNAcentral.
UACGUAGGCAGCGAGCGUUGUUCGGAGUUACUGGGCGUAAAGGGUGUGUAGGCGGGUGUUUAAGUUUGGUGUGAAAUCUCCCGGCUCAACUGGGAGGGUGCGCCGAAUACUGAAUGACUUGGAGUGCGGGAGAGGUGAGUGGAAUUCCUGGUGUAGCGGUGAAAUGCGUAGAUAUCAGGAGGAACACCGGUGGUGUAGACGGCUCACUGGACCGUAACUGACGCUGAGACACGAAAGCGUGGGUAGCAAACAGG